RNAcentral lists this ribosomal RNA (460 nucleotides) under uncultured bacterium. RNAcentral's name for it is "partial 16S ribosomal RNA". It matches the Rfam family "Bacterial small subunit ribosomal RNA", at positions 338 to 795 of the family's 1533-position model. The record is from RNAcentral.
CCUACGGGUGGCAGCAGUGAGGAAUAUUGGUCAAUGGACGCGAGUCUGAACCAGCCAAGUAGCGUGAAGGAUGACUGCCCUACGGGUUGUAAACUUCUUUUAUAUGGGAAUAAAAUGUUCCACGUGUGGGUUUUUGUAUGUACCUUAUGAAUAAGGAUCGGCUAACUCCGUGCCAGCAGCCGCGGUAAUACGGAGGAUCCGAGCGUUAUCCGGAUUUAUUGGGUUUAAAGGGAGCGUAGGUGGAUUGUUAAGUCAGUUGUGAAAGUGUGCGGCUCAACCGUAAAAUUGCAGUUGAAACUGGCAGUCUUGAGUACAGUAGAGGUGGGCGGAAUUCGUGGGGUAGCGGUGAAAUGCUUAGAUAGCACGAAGAACUCCGAUUGCGAAGGCAGCUCACUGGACUGCAACUGACACUGAGGCUCGAAAGUGUGGGUAUCAAACAGGAUUAGAUACCCUUGUAGUC